This 2170-nucleotide long non-coding RNA is filed under the name Homo sapiens (human). Its description in RNAcentral is "MSANTD2 antisense RNA 1". Lineage: Eukaryota; Metazoa; Chordata; Mammalia; Primates; Hominidae. The record is from RNAcentral.
GGCCACCGCGGUCUCCGGGGCUGCCCUCGGGCCUGGCUCGCCCGCGGGCGGAUGGCUCCGGGUCUCUGCUGCUGAGGAUGUGGCUGCCGGGCGGAGGUCGUCCACUCCCCUGGGCCUUUCUCCGCGAGCCCUCCCACGCCGCCCGCUCCUCUCCCGGGGCGAAGGGCGGGGACGAGGCGCGCCGAAGCCCCGAGCUGAAGAGAAGGGUGGGGGCAUGAGGGCGCUGGAGUGAGGAACAGAUUGGAGCCUUCCCACUUCCUCUCCAAUCUCAGCCCCCGGGAGGAGGGGUGAGGCCCUCGAGGGGGCCCGGAGUUAAGGAGGAAUAGACCGUUUCUCUCUCUCCUGUCUCCCCCGCCUCUGCCCGUCUUCCCUCUAAGCCGGCCUCUAGGUGCAGAGGCUGACGUCCAGGAUGGGGACCGGGGAAGCCUCUGGAGGGUAUAUCCGGGAAGGCACCAAGGCUGAAAAAGAUGCAGUCUAGCACCUCAGUUAAGAAUAUGGACUCUAAAGUCAGACUGCCAGGCUUCAAAUUCCAGUUCUGCGACCUCAGCAAAGUUACUUAACCAAGCUCUCAGUGCCUUGUUUUCUUCAUCUGUAAAAUGAGGAUGACGUCACAGCAUUGUUGAGAGAAUUAAUACAGGCUCCAGACUUGUGAAUGGAGAAGUGUUGAGGUGACCCCAGCUCCAGCCACCAGCUGACGACAACCAUACCGGAGAUCCUGAGAGCUGCCUAGCUGACCCCAGGCACCCCCCAGACUUAUUCAGCACUUAGAAGAAUGCCAGGCAGGCUUUCCCCACCAACCAAGAUGGAAUAACAGGGAAAAGACAUACCCUUCUAUCUUCAAUAAUUGGAAACCCAGACAAAGUUUAUGAAACGCUGGUUUUCAAGACAUAGGACAUCAGACAAUCAAGGACAGUAAACACUGAGAUGGGAAACAAACAAGGUGAGUACUGCAAUUGCCCAACAUUACUAGCUGGAAAGAGUUUCCCGACCAUGGCAGAGGGAGGAGGAUCCUUUGAGGUUCUGUGGUGUCCCUGAGUUGAGGAGACAAAGUUGAAAUUCCAGAGUGGUCAAGGCAGCUGGAGUUUGUAGAGCAGAGUACCAGAAAGAAAAUAGAUGCACAGAGAGAACCUCAGAGAUCUGCAAAAGAUCUCAGCUCUUCAGCUGUGCACCUAUCAGUACAUGCAUGUGACAAAGCACCCCAAGGCCAGGGGAAGAAUCACCUGAAAGUAUGAAGAGAAGAAUACUUGGAGCAUAUACAAACCAGGAAUAAUUUCAGUUCUCACCAGCCAAAUUGGAAGACCCCAUAGAUAACAGGCAUUAGGUAGAGCAGGGGUCCCCAACCUCCAGGGGCACUGACCAGUACUGUUCAUGGCCUGUUAGGAACUGGGCUGCACAGCAGGAGGUGAGCGGCAGGCUAGCCAGCAAACCUUCAUCUGUAUUUAUAGCUCCCAUCACUUGCAUUACUCCCCAUCACUCCCCAUCACUUGCAUUACCACCUGAGCUCCACCUCCUCUCAGAUCAGCAGCAGCAUUAGAUUCUCAUAGGAGUGUGAACCCUACUGUGAACUGCACAUGCAAGGGAUCUAGGUUGUGCACUGUUUAUGAGAAUCUAAUGCCUGAUGAUCUGAGGUGCAGCUGAGGCAGCAUAGCUAGGAGGUAGGUAUUUUGUUGCUGGGGACUCAUAUCAAAACCCUAUCAGUGAGUGGCAAGUGACAAUUAAGCUGCAUCUGGUGGCAGACUUUAUAGAGGCAAGUGAGUCAAUGUAUUUCAAUUGCACAGCUCUAUCUGGUGGCAAGUUUUAAGUCAGAAUCUGACACUUAAUUUAGUCUGUGCAUGGCCUGCCCAUUAUUUUAUUUACCACUUCUGUCUGUGCCUCUUUGCUGCACUGAACACUUGUCUCAGUCACAGUUUUGGUAAGCCCACAAGCUAACCCUAGCUAAAAUGAGUAAAAAGCAAACGACACUGGAGAGCUUCUUUGAAAAGUCAGAGAGACCCAAUGAUGAGACAGCAGAAGACUCUUAAGACUGCCAACAAAAAGAAAGCUGCACUUAAAAGAAAAUACCAGACUGGGCGUGGUGGCUCACACCUGUAAUCCUAGCACUUUGGGAGGCUGAAGCAGGUGGAUCCCUUGAGGCCAGGAGUUUGAGACCAGCCAAGCCAACAUGGUGAAA